Molecule: ribosomal RNA, 254 nt
Filed under: uncultured bacterium
Lineage: Bacteria
Description: partial 16S ribosomal RNA
Rfam family: Bacterial small subunit ribosomal RNA
Source: RNAcentral
UACAGAGGGUGCAAGCGUUGUUCGGAAUCAUUGGGCGUAAAGGGCGUGUAGGCGGUCUGUUAAGUCAUGUGUGAAAUCCCUCGGCUUAACCGGGGAACUGCGUCUGAUACUGGAUGGCUUGAGUUUGGGAGAGGGACGCGGAAUUCCAGGUGUAGCGGUGAAAUGCGUAGAUAUCUGGAGGAACACCGGUGGCGAAGGCGGCGUCCUGGACCAAUACUGACACUGAGUGAGCGAAAGCCAGGGGAGCAAACGGG